GUAGUGGCGACGACCGGGAAUUAGCCCAGCACUUAAUCCUGUACUGUUAAUUGGUACUCGGCCGAUAGUGUAAAGGUUGCGUCUUUGACAAUGUAUCUCCACCCGAUUCCCUUGACUGUGAUGUUGUCCAGAGAGGGUGUCAGACCCGUUGGAGUGUGAGAAACUGUCAAUGAUGCUUCCUAUGAGUCGGAUUGUUUGAGAAUGCAGUCCAAAUUGGGUGGUAAACCUCAUCUAAGGCUAAAUACUUGUGCUAGUCCGAUAGAAAACAAGUACCGUGAGGGAAAGUUGAAAAGAACUUUGAAGAGAGAGUUAAAUAGUACGUGAAAUCGCUUAGAGGUAAACGAGUGGAGCCGAAAAUGUCGUGUGGGAUUCAGUUGCUUGUGGUUUGUCGUGGCAUUGGGGAUAUCUUUAACGAGAAUAACCAGUGUCAUUAUCAUCAGAUUGCAAGCGAUGCACUUUCCAUUCAACAGAGCUGCGAUCGGUAGCGUUGGUUUUCUGUCGUCGGAUUGCAGGUGAUCAUUUCUUCGGAAGUGGUUUUAUAGCUUCCAACACGGUCAACUGAUUUACCGGUUAUUACCAUCAGUCAACGUUGGUGAUGUCAAUGAGAUUUGUUUGAUAGUCAACUCUAAUAGAGAUUUCCGUCAAGUCUUUCCUGUUGGCGUUUUCAAUGGAUUGGUGAAAAUGAGCAGUGUAUAUGUAGGUUACCUACUCGUCCCGUCUUGAAACACGGACCAAGGAGUUUUAUAUGAUCGCGAGUCAAAGGGCAUUACGAAACCCCACGGCGCAAUAAAAGUAAAGGCUUGCUUUGGUAAGCUGAGAUGUGACCUCAAUCUUGUUUCCCGUCAAACCGGAAAUGAGAGAGAGAGCAACAUUGACCCGUCUAAAGACUCUCGAGUCUGGGCGGAGUUUGAGCGAUGAUGUAGAGACCCGAAAGAUGGUGAACUAUGCUUGUGCAGGUUGAAGUCAGAGGAAACUCUGAUGGAGGACCGAAGCGGUUCUGACGUGCAAAUCGAUCGUCGGACAUGAGUAUAGGGGCGAAAGACUAAUCGAACCAUCUAGUAGCUGGUUCCCUCCGAAGUUUCCCUCAGGAUAGCUGGCAUUUACAUGAAAUAUUAUGUAGUUUGACCUGGUAAAGCGAAUGAUUAGAAGUAUUGGGGACGAAAUGUUUUCAACUUAUUCUCAAACUUUAAAUAGGUUCGAAGUGCUACUCGCUUAAUUGGAGUAGUACAUGGAAUACAAAUGCCUAGUGGGCCAUUUUUGGUAAGCAGAACUGGCGAUGUGGGAUGAACCAAACAUUCGGUUAAGGUGCCUAACACCACGCUCAUGAGAUACCACAAAAGGUGUUGGUUGAUAAAGACAGCAGGACGGUGGACAUGGAAGUCGUCACCCGCUAAGGAGUGUGUAACAACUCACCUGCCGAAUCAACCAGCCCUGAAAAUGGAUGGCGCUGUAGCGUGGGACCUAUACCGGAUCAGUGGCGCAAGAGAGAAUUUAAUCGUUUUCCCAUAAGGGCGCCACUGUGUAGGAGGGUGCCGUGGUUGCCAAACUAGUUGGCUGGCGUGAGACAGAGUGGAGCGACCAGCGGGUACAUCUUGUAGUUACAUUAUUCAUGAAUCCUUGAA
RNAcentral lists this ribosomal RNA (1622 nucleotides) under Microplana scharffi. Its description in RNAcentral is "eukaryotic LSU rRNA". It matches the Rfam family "Eukaryotic large subunit ribosomal RNA", at positions 83 to 1488 of the family's 3401-position model. The record is from RNAcentral. Lineage: Eukaryota; Metazoa; Platyhelminthes; Tricladida; Geoplanidae.